AUUGCUGCAUUCAUUAUGGGGAGUUCGGGGACUUUCCACCUAAACUGAAAGAAAAACAAUGUGCUGUGUGAUAGCUAUAAUGUUAUGUAGGCCUAUUGAAAGAAAUAUGCUAUGCUUAGUACUGAUUUUCUGUUUAUAGCAUUUUACAACAGGAUUCUUAUGUAUUUCCAGCUUUCUCUACAUAAAAGGAAGAAACGUCUUUGCCACGGAGCAGGUAGGCAAACUUUGUUGUGUUAACAUAUAUAACGACACGUGUAGGGCAAUGUAAUGAACAUAUACAUAUUAAAGUCCCAUCCAAAUGGGGAGAACAAAACCUUAAAAGGAUCGGGAAAGCCUAGCUCAGCGAUAUACAUGUUAAACACCCUGGCUGGAUUCAAACCGCGGUCUCCCACGGGAGUGAAUGUGUCUUUAACCGCGUGGAAUGUGCUUUUACAACACUUUCUUGCUACAUGUAUUAACAUCGCGCCACGUUUGAAUAUUUACUUUCUUAUUAAGUUUCCCUUAGUCACAAAUAUAAUCUAUGAAAUGUAUGGCUUUUGACACAGGUCGUUUUAACAGCUUAUUGGUCAGUAUAAUAGGCUUAAUAGUAUUUAACUUGAACUUAACAAAGCUAUUUCAUGGCGCAAAAUAGUAAGUUUUUCAUUCAUUCUUGAAUGACAUUGAUACAAUAAGUAUCAAAAUAGGUGACGAUAACUGACGUUUUCAUCAAGGUAAAAGAAGAGAGAACUAUUUUACUGCCAAAGGAUCUAGUCUAUAUUACCGCAAAAAGCAUUCACAGAGGCGUACUUCGAACUGUGAACCGUUUUAUUUUAGGCUUACUAUAACGUCUCUAACCACUACGCUAUUUAACAAGGGGUAGAUCGGUCAGUCACUCAAUCAGACAGUCAAUAAGAGACAUUCACUCUCCCCGGCCAGUGCAAAAACAACUGUGUAGAGAUGCCUAGAGGCCUCUCCUGCUAUGUCCUGACUAUGGCCCCCAGCCCAGUGCAGAGAUAGCUUGGGGCAUAGCCAGGACCUGACACUUUCAGUUUCAUUCUUAUUAAUGGGGAAUUUUCCCCCAUUUCAUUCCAUAUGAUGAAAUGGGGAAAAAUGUGUGAAUGGCCCAUUCCGAUUAAAUGUUUGAUAACCUGUAUUUGUUUGUGCAGGAAGUCCAUCUACAGACACUGUGUGUACUAACUGUACUGGUGACACCUAUUCAGGUGGAUCAUUUACAUCCUGUCAACCACACACACAGGCCUGAAACCCCUACAGAGUAUUUGAUCACCUACCGACUUCAGGAGAAACCCAGCUGCCCUUUCCCCCAUUGCCCUGGGUGGUUCCCCAGUCAACUCUGUGGAGUCCUUUCGCUUUCUGGGCACCACCAUCAGCCAGGACCUCAAGUGGGAGCUGAACAUCACCUCGCUCACAAAGAAAGCAGAGGAUGUACUUCCUGUGGCAGCUAAAAAAGUUCAACCUGAACAAAGACUAUUAUGGGGCAUUUCCACACUGCCAUCCUAGAGUCCAUCUUGACCUCUUUCACUGUCUGGUAUGCUGCAGCCUGCCCUUGCAGCCUGUCCUUGGCAGUAUCAUCCACUCUGCAGAGAGGGUAAUUGGCUGCAAUCUGCCGUCUCUACAAGACCUACACACCUCCAGGACGCGGAGGCGAGCGGCAAAUAUUGGGGCUGAUCCCUCUCACCCAGGAAAUGGACUAUCCAGAACUCUCCCCUCUGGCAGAAGGUUUAGGUCUAUCAGGACCAAAACCUCUCACCACAAGAACAGUUUCUUUUUUACAGCAGUAGGCCUCAGGAACAUGCCCCUGGAGCCAAACUCACUAUAGCCUGCUCCCCACAUACACACACAACCCUCAACAGGACAAAUCUACAACCCCUCCCCACAUACACACACAACCCUCUACUGGACAAAUCUAUAACCCCUCCCCACAUACACACACAACCCUCAACUGGAUAUCUUGCACCUUACAUAUUUUGUAGUAUAUUUUUUAAGAAUUGAUUAAUGCUCAGUCUACGGUUUUUAUGCUCAGUCCACUAGCAGAUCACUAGGUGUCGCUGAUGUGUGAUCAUGAUUAUUGCUCUGUCACAAACAUUUGACCGACAAAGGCACCUUAAUGAGCACCAAGAAAACAUUUGAAAAAAAAUAAAUAGCAUAUGAAAACAUGUUUUACAAAAGACUAAUAGCAUUAGGUUUAACAUUCCUGAAUGUUCUUCGAAAAUCUAUUUGGUUUGUACUCGUCAUUACCAACACCACAUAAACAAUUCAUACAAAUGAAUUGUCAACUGUCAACUGUAGCAUCUGUUCUCUAUCUCUGAUGUAUUUUCUCAUUGUGAUCCUGGUGAGAAAUUAAAUGUAGUGUUUGGAUAGAUGUUAUUGUUCCAUUGACCUUAGAUAUGUUGUAGUUUUACUUGUUUUAUGUGUAAAAACAAUAAUGACAUGUUAACCAAACAACGUGACAUUGCACCUGUUCCUAGGACGCUGAUUCAGGUUACAGGAACAUCUUGUAAUUGCUCUUGAUCCCAGGACAUAUAGAGAAGAUCCCACAACAUCCCUAAGGACUUGUUCUUCUGGUGAUGGUGUUGACUAUUUGGAAAUAAUCAACACCAGGAUUUUAUUUGCAUCUCAGAAUAACAUUUUGGGUUUUCUUUUGGUGCUGACUUUUGAGUGUCCUCUUGCCCUUUUUUUUUUUAACCGUAAUAGGAUAUCAGGCAGCCGUCCCCCCAGGACACUAAUGGAUUUUGGGCAGUUCCCCUUGGGCACACCCCAUGGCUUCUCAGUUUCUAAGAAGCUUGAGGAGACUGCCCACCAAUCCCUGCUUCUAACAUGGGACCCCCUCCGACCCCCCCAAUUCAUCACAGGAGAACACUGUGUCUCGUUAUUAAGGUACCAAUACACUGUGUCUGGUUAUUAAGGUACCAAGACACUGUGUCUGGUUAUUAAGGUACCAAGACACUGUAUCUGGUUAUUAAGGUACCAAGAUACUGUGUCUGGUUAUUAAGGUACCAAGACACUGUGUCUGGUUAUUAAGGUACCAAGAUACUGUGUCUGGUUAUUAAGGUACCAAGACACUGUGUCUGGUUAUUAAGGUACCAAGACACUGUGUCUGGUUAUUAACGUACCAAGACAUUGUGUCUGGUUAUUAAGGUACCAAGACACUGUGUCUGGUUAUUAACGUACCAAGACACUGUGUCUGGUUAUUAACGUACCAAGACACUGUGUCUGGUUAUUAACGUACCAAGACACUGUGUCUGGUUAUUAAGGUACCAAGACACUGUGUCUGGUUAUUAAGGUACCAAGACACUGUGUCUGGUUAUUAAGGUACCAAGACACAGUGCUGAUUGCACAAAGGGCAUCGGAUUCCAUUUUUGUUUCAUAUGGAAUUGACAAUAUACAACACUUUCUUGUCACUCAUGGGCUCUCAGUGGUUCCUCUGGCUGAUUUAAAGAGGCGGAGGCGUGGAAAUGCAACAGUAUUUACAGUAAGAUAUGGUUGUUGGUGUCAAACCCAUUGCCUGACUGGUUAAUUUGAUUUAAUGCUAGUAUUGUCUAACCUAGGUGGGUCAUAAUUCAUAUGGUGUGGUAGAUUGACUAUCGUUCAUAGAACCAGGGUUUAAUAGGUAACGCUUGGGUGUGUUUAAGUUGUAAAGUCUUUUUGUAAUUUCUAACAUAGACCGUAACGGGGAGACACAGGGAACAGACAACUGUUCAGGGCGCUGGAGUGCAUUUUAAUAAAGGGGAUACAGGAACAUUAACUUUAAGUUUAAAGAGUGUACGGAAUAUACGGUCUGUGGAUUCAGUGUCAAACCAUGAAUACAUUUUUCUUGGAGACAGGACUGGUAAGUAGGCUUUAGGUGGUCCAUAAAUUUAGCUUACACCCCAGUACAGUAGGUGGCGGUAAUGCACUGAAGAGGAAGAGGUUGGACAACGUGGUACAACAACCCACACAAAAGAGAAAGUGGAAGAGGAAAUUGGAAGAAGUUGACACAUGACACAGAUGUGAACAAACUCCAUUCAAUUGCCACUCUUUGAGGACACUUCAGGUAAUGAGAAAUAUAUAUUUACAGCUACAUGUAGGCUACUGCUUUUGUGUGAAUUUCACAACUGGAGGUUUAUGAUUGUGUGCAGACGUCAACUCAAAAGUCAGUUCAAACUACCCGCCUCUACCGGUCGGCACUUGUAUUGUAAUAUUUCUCUAUUCUAAGGAUUAAUCUGUAGAUAUUAGGGGCAGUACAUUCAUGUUCUUUCCUCUUUAUUAUCCCCUGAGGUAUUUUUUUAUUAGAUAUCAGUGCAUUAAUAUGGUAGAUACUAGAUUAUUCAGUGAUAAAUUAGUUUGCAAAUAGUUAGAGCCACCCCUUUUAUCUAAGAAUAAAGAAAACGGGGAAAAGCCUGUUUAAAAUCCAGAUAUGCAAAUCUGUCACACUUCUGCAAUAUUUGCCGUUUUGAUUACAUGAUAAGCCUUCAAUGUGAGUGGGACACUGUUUGCCAUCCACGUGUUCAGACACUUUCCUGCCUCACACAAUCUCUCAACAUCCCUCACCAUCUCUCAUCAUCUCUCAACAUCCCGGAGUUGCCUCUUCACUGAUAAUGUUGACGAGGCCUCUUCAUGCCUAGAUUAGAUUAGAUUAAACUUUAUUGUCACUGCACAGUACCAGCACAGUUAAAACGAAAUGCAGUUUCCGUCUAACCAGAAGUGCAAAUAGAGGAGUGCAGAGAAGUACAAUUAUAUGUACAUACAAGUGGAAUGAACACGUGUGCAAUUAAUGCAAAGGCAUUACAUAUGGCAAAUCUAAAUGUGCAGCGGAAAACUCACACAUUUACAGAAAAUGUACAGGUAUUAAGUAUCAUGUAUGUACAAGUGAGAUAAAUAGAUGUGGCAAUACUCAAUGGCAUUCUGAAUUUGCAAUUGAGGCAAAUUGGGGGGGUAUGGUAGUAUGUGACCCUGAAAGGCAGGGAUGGCAGCAAAGAGGUUCCCAAGGUAGACGUGUGCAACAACUGAAAAUGCAAGUACAGUGGCAGUUCUAAAUGUGCAGUGUGCAGUGAGGGCGGGGUUAAGGUGCAGGUUUAAGGCGCAAGUCGGCAUUAAAUGAAAUACAGGAAUAGCAGCAAUGACACUGAUAAAUCUUACCAGACUAGUCCAGUAGUGCAGAGGGUGGGCAAUGCAUAGUUAGCGAUGGGGAGUCACAGAGUUCAGCAGAUGGAAAGAUACUGUUCCUGAGCCUGCCGGUGAGUGAACGGAGAGACCUGUACCCGCGUGCCUGAUUGGAGGAGGGCAAACCGAUUAUGGCGUGGGUGUGAAGGGACCCUGGUGAUGCAGCAAUGGCUGGGAGCUGGGUGCCCGUGGCGUGCUGGGCGGUUUUCACCACCCGUUGCAGGGCCUUCCGGUCAGCUGUGGAGCAUCCACCAAACCACACUGUGGCAGCGGUACAAGUUCACAAGGAUCCUGGAAGACAGGCGGGCCUUCUUCAGGCUCCUCAAGAAGUACAGGCGCUGAAAAUCAGGCAUUUUCAGCUACAGUACAGUAGUCAACUUUAACAAUGUCUACAAUGUAUUUCUGAUCAGUUUGAUGUUAUUUUAAUUGACUUUUGCUUUUCUUUCAAAAACUAGGAAAAGGUGUCCCCCUAAUUUCUUAGUGUAGGAAAGGUAAGGCACCAAACAGAAUUUGAACCCACCAGGACCACCAGAAAAACCGGACCUCGUUCCAUGAAGGAUUGGAGAACCAUGGAACCAUGGAACAAGAUAUGGAUAAUUUUCAUAUCAAUCAGUAUAAUUCUUCUAAAUAUCAAGUCCUCUGCUGCAUGUAAUCCAGCUGAGUAUAGAAUAGGUGUUGAAUGUUGUCCGAUGUGUUCACCAGGAAACCGUGUCAAUAAACAUUGUACAGAAUAUACAAGUACUUCCUGUGUUCCCUGUAUUGGCUCCACAUACCUUGAUGAACCCAAUGGUCUUACAGCAUGUACACCAUGUACAC
Molecule: long non-coding RNA, 5955 nt
Organism: Esox lucius (northern pike)
Lineage: Eukaryota; Metazoa; Chordata; Actinopteri; Esociformes; Esocidae
Exons: 5
Source: RefSeq, a predicted model, not a curated record